RNAcentral lists this microRNA precursor (169 nucleotides) under Oryza longistaminata (longstamen rice). Its description in RNAcentral is "pre miRNA MIR820". The record is from RNAcentral. Lineage: Eukaryota; Viridiplantae; Streptophyta; Magnoliopsida; Poales; Poaceae.
GUUCACCAAGGCUAGCACAGAUGUCUCGACUCACCAUCGGUAUCCCACUCGACAUUGCUCCCAUUGUCUCUAUUCGAAGAUACAUGUAUCUUCAGAUAGUGAUAAUGAGAGCAAGUUCGAGCGGGAUACCGAUGGUGAGACUGAGACAUUUGCACCGGCCUUGAGGAAC